CUAUGCCGAGGUAAAUUCAAUUUUCAAUUCUAGGGCACCUUUAAGCAUAUUUAUUUAGCUGUCCUCUAUGCACAAAAUUAUUUUGUUAGUUGCAUAUCAUUAUUUGCAUUUUCAAUUUAAUUUUUAGAACAGACCCCAUUUUGAAGUGACCUACCAGCAAAGAAUCACUGCAUUGUAAAAUAAGUCCAUUUAAAGGGGCUGUCAGAAUUUUUAAGUAUUAUUUGCUUUUUUCCCAGUGUGUGAACAGCUUGUAACAAACUUUAAAAAACGAGCCCUUCCCAGACUUCCUAGGUUGUCUAUGAAAGUCUGUAGACUGAUUUUUAUGAGAAGGACUCGGGACGUUUUUGCCGGGAAAAUCAAAAGAAUGUGACGUUUAUGCGCGCUCCCGAUAAUGUCGUAAAAGCUAUUAGGUUACUGUAAUAUCAGUGAUUAAUUCAAACUAUAGUUUCACAUAGUCAAAUAGGGCCUAGUCUACACUCAAAUAUACUUUAUAAUCAAUCAUAACUGUGUAAUUUUAAUUACCUCAUCUGUCGAUGAUGCCGGUGUUGUGUUUAGUUUAAGUGGAAGUAUUUAUAUUCAUCUAAAGGUCGCUUUCUCGGCAGCAAGGACGGCAGAUGUUCGUUAACAGUAUAUCGCUGUAAAGGUAUCUCCAACUUAUUUUUACUCCUAAAGAACGAAAAAGAACUUAUAACAGCACGAUAAACAGCAUAUAUCGGGGCCUUCAAUCACGUCGUUUAGUCUCUAGUCUAGUAAGUUACGUGUCACGGGUGCAAGCACGAGCAAUAAGUUGCUGGCUGCAGUUGACUUAACGUCCACGUGACCGGAGUCACUAAUAACAAGAGUUUCUGGAUUCUACAUAACAAUAGUAAUUAAAAUCAGUUGCAUAAAACAUAAAAAAUGUAAUAUAGAUUGGAAGUAUAAAACAAUAUGCAAAGCCUGCUUGCAUAAAUAUUGGUGGAAGAUAAUGAGCAAAUAAGUGACUGUACUUGUGCUUUGGAUGAAAUGGAAGAAUAGCUCAAGUUAUUCACCAGAUAUUGUGCUGUUUUGCUUUAAUGAUGUAAAUGAUGCAAGCAUCUAAAACAACGCUGUAAUCUCCUGCGACUCAUUAUACCAAAAGACCCUUCAGGUUCAUGGAAAAAACACAAGCCUUUUCUGCCUACAGCCCACAGGAGGCGCCAGAGCACAGACUGGAGACGAGGGAAACGCAGUCUUCACACAGCUCUUCUGAACAACAACAGUUUUACUGUGAAUGAGAUCUCAGAGAAACCAGGGGAAAUAAAUGAACAACGACUUAAAUAUGGAAAAGUAACAACACACAAGUCUGGAACUGCAUGAGGAGUUCAAGACUCCAGAACUUUCUUGCUCAGCGGUAAAGCACCUUCAUCGAUCGGCACUGUGCUUCCAGUGGGGGCGUUUCACAGACAGUUACCCAGAGAUGAUGCCCUUUCUGCAGGUAUGUGGCAGCUCUCUGGUCCCUUGAGCUGUGGAGCUCGAGGAGGAUUAUUAGACUUUGUGGUUGGACCAUAAAUCAGCUGAUGUAUGAUCCAGCAGAAGUCUCCCCCGAGCAACGGGAUUCACCCACUAAAUCCAGGAUGGGUAAUAAUGUUCUUUUCUUCUUGCUGGCAGGGUUUUGGCAUGACUCCAGAUCCGUUUGGAUGAUUUAAGAGAAUGAAAUUAGUAAGAACUAAAAUGAUUGCUUCAUGGGCUCUUUGAACUGAAGGAAGUUUUGCUUGAGAGGCUUGGAUUAAGUUUAAAGACAUGCUGUGGGUUUUAUCAGCAGCAUUUAAGGCAUGUUGAAAAUUUUAACUCCUCCUUCAGUUUGAAAAACAAACAACAAUCACAUUUACAGUAAUGCAGUUUACAGUGGAAGUCUACAUUUGGCUGAUAUAAACAAUAGAAUUUCGUAUUAUGUUAUGUUAUUAGAAUGCAUUAGUUCAAGACUUUAUAAAAGCACAUUACUGGAAACAUGCAUGGUUUUACAGCUGAGGGACGCUGAUGCUGUCUAGAGAGCUCUACUUGUUUUGGAACAAUUCAUUUGAUUGUGGCUGGAAUUUUGCAAACCUCAAACCUGACAAACUGAACUGGAGUGAUUUGAUUUAUAUUCAUUUGGUAGUGAAUGGAAAAGCUCAUGCUGUUAUUUUCCUCACUUUCUACUGAGUUAUCUGUACAGGUCUUUAUUUGGCAUGUUCCGUUGAGACGUCAACCCAUACCGACAAUCUGCCUGCUGCUUCUUCUGGAAAUGUUGACUCUGUUCUGGACAUUUAGGCUAAAGUUUUUUCAGUCUGCCAUGCUGGAUGGGACAUUUCCAUUGGUAGCCAUAGAGGAAUGCAGAUGCUAAGUAUUUUUACAGUCAUGCAUUUAGUCCAUUUUGAUUUUGUGUUUAAACCACUUCAACUCUAGCACAACUAUUAUUUCUUUUCACAUAAAUUAUGAUUAUAGGAGCAGAUUAUCAAUUAAUAAACUUGUCGCUGUGUCCCUUGACCUCAGAACACUUUUACUGUAGUGCAUUUUUAGCAUAUACAUUUUAAUUUUUGCAUACAUAAUCAGCUCAUUUAUGGAUUUUCUGACGAGAUAAACUUGCUCAGUAGCUGGUUCUUGCAAUGCGGAGAACUCUGGUACGAGGAGUGUGAAACACGACACUUGACAAAUGAGCUCAACGCAUUGUAGAAACAAGCUAAAAUGGCGUGGUUACAUCAGCAACUUUUUUUUUUAUCUCACAUUUGCUUUUGCUCACACUAUCGGUUUAGCAUAGAGUUUUGUUAAACGUAAACUGGAAAUUCACAGUUUCUUGUUGUGGAAGAGCAAUAGGAACAUAUGUGUGUGGUGUUAUGGGAAGACUUAAUAGUGUGUGUUAAGAUGAUCACUCAACUGUAAAUGUUCAGUUUAAUUUCUGCACAAAUAAAUUUACUGUAUAAAUAAAAAUAUUC
Molecule: long non-coding RNA, 2927 nt
Organism: Megalobrama amblycephala (Wuchang bream)
Lineage: Eukaryota; Metazoa; Chordata; Actinopteri; Cypriniformes; Xenocyprididae
Exons: 5
Source: RefSeq, a predicted model, not a curated record